GACGAACGCUGGCGGCGUGCUUAACACAUGCAAGUCGAACGGAAAGGCCUUGUUUCUGUGGGGUGCUCGAGUGGCGCACGUGUGAGUAACACGUGAGUAACCUGCCCUCGACUUUGGGAUAACUUCAGGACACUGUGGCUAAUACCGCAUAGGAGCUCAUGCUGCAUGGUGGGGGCUGGAAAGUUUAGGCGGUUGGGGUUGGACUCGGGGCUUGUCAGCUUGUUGGUGGUGUAGUGGCUUACCAAGGCUUUGACGGGUAGCCGGCCUGAGAGGGUGACCGGGCACAUUGGGGCUGGGGACCCGCCCCGACCCCUACGGGGGGCAGGAGUGGGGGAUAUUGCAGAAAGGGGGGAAGGCUGAUGGAGGAACGGCGGGGGGGGGAUAACAGGCUUCGGGUUGUAGACCGCUUUCGCCUGUAGCAAAAGGAGUGAGAGUGUAUGGGGUAUAAAAACCGCGGCACUCUGCG
This 466-nucleotide ribosomal RNA is filed under the name uncultured bacterium. RNAcentral describes it as "partial 16S ribosomal RNA". It matches the Rfam family "Bacterial small subunit ribosomal RNA", at positions 28 to 505 of the family's 1533-position model. The record is from RNAcentral.